GACGAACGCUGGCGGCGUGCCUAAUACAUGCCAGUUGAGCGCUGAAGGUUGGUACUUGUACCGACUGGAUGAGCAGCGAACGGGUGAGUAACGCGUGGGGAAUCUGCCUUUGAGCGGGGGACAACAUUUGGAAACGAAUGCUAAUACCGCAUAAAAACUUUAAACACAAGUUUUAAGUUUGAAAGAUGCAAUUGCAUCACUCAAAGAUGAUCCCGCGUUGUAUUAGCUAGUUGGUGAGGUAAAGGCUCACCAAGGCGAUGAUACAUAGCCGACCUGAGAGGGUGAUCGGCCACAUUGGGACUGAGACACGGCCCAAACUCCUACGGGAGGCAGCAGUAGGGAAUCUUCGGCAAUGGACGAAAGUCUGACCGAGCAACGCCGCGUGAGUGAAGAAGGUUUUCGGAUCGUAAAACUCUGUUGGUAGAGAAGAACGUUGGUGAGAGUGGAAAGCUCAUCAAGUGACGGUAACUACCCAGAAAGGGACGGCUAACUACGUG
RNAcentral lists this ribosomal RNA (497 nucleotides) under uncultured bacterium. RNAcentral describes it as "partial 16S ribosomal RNA". It matches the Rfam family "Bacterial small subunit ribosomal RNA", at positions 28 to 507 of the family's 1533-position model. The record is from RNAcentral.